Molecule: ribosomal RNA, 485 nt
Filed under: uncultured bacterium
Lineage: Bacteria
Description: bacterial SSU rRNA
Rfam family: Bacterial small subunit ribosomal RNA
Source: RNAcentral
GAUGAACGCGUACGGCAGGCCUAACACGAUGCGAAGUCGAGGGCAUCAUGGCGUAGCAUACGCUGAUGGCGACCGGCGCACGGGUGCGUAACGCGUAUGGAACCUACCCACGCAGGGGGAUAACCCGCCGAAAGGCGGACUAAUACCCCAUGGUUCCCGACCCUGCCUGGGGUUGGGGGUAAAGCCUACGGGCGGCGGUGGAUGGCCCUGCGUGCCAUUAGCUGGCUGGUGGGUAACGGCCCACCAGGGCGACGAUGGCUAGGGGGUCUGAGAGGACGAUCCCCCACACUGGUACUGAGACACGGACCAGACUCCUACGGGAGGCAGCAGUGAGGAAUAUUGGUCAAUGGGCGGAAGCCUGAACCAGCCAUGCCGCGUGCAGGAUGACGGCCCUACGGGUUGUAAACUUCUUUUACAGGGGAAUAAAGUGAGUCACGUGUGAUUUUUUGCAUGUACCCUGUGAAUAAGCAUCGGCUAACUCCGUG